ACUCUUUACAGAAUGCUAACACAGCUAAUGCUAACAGGAGCUAACGGCUAUAGUGUUAGACUGCGGAGACCUGAUAGCUAAUCGAUAAUCAAUACAACCCCAGAGACAGAACAAAUUUAACUGUCUGUUUUAACAGAAACUCACGAGCUUCUCGUUAACGGUUAACUGUGACGUCAGCUCUCAGUUAGCCUGUUAGCAUGUUGCUAUGAUCUUAGCACAGAGUCAGUGAUGGUUACAACACAUGUAAAUCGGUCUGUCUGUCUUUAUAGGCCUACAUAAUCAAUUCAUAUAAAUUCAUAUAUAUAUAUAUAUAUAUAUAUAUAUAUAUAUAUAUAAUGAUACAUACAUACACAUAGAAAAAUAUAUAAAUUAGUAACUGAACAUGUAACGUUAUGAAUGAAUAGGCCUAUGUGACAUGUUGAGUUCAGUAAAUUUUGCAGUGAAAUGUCAGAUUAAAGGAUUUAUAUCUUCUCUGUGAAUGAUGUUAAUGAUAUUGAUAUUAAUAUUGAUGUUAUUGACAGUAAAUAUGUUAUUAUUAAUGACGUCAUAUCAACAGCAGCUGUGGUGUUUGUAGAGGAAUCUAUCAGCUGAUCAUUUUAAAGGGUUGUAGACUGAAUCACUGUGACAACGCACAAACAACAACAAUGAUCACUUCCAAGUAGAAAAGUGACAGGUGGAGCUACACUUAAUGAAAUAAUCCUCCUGAUGCCUGGUUCACACCACACGACAUUUCUUUGUCAGAUCAGGUAACACACUGCCCGUGACCUGACCGACAGACAUGACACACUACAGGAUGGUCCACGAGCAAUCAUCACUGGUUGUCUUUCACUACUCUGUGGUGUCAUCAGGGUCUACAUCCUUCGGAGGACGCGGCCUACGCAGCCUCUGAAGGCUAUUUUGUCUAUUUAAUUUACUUUUUGUAAGUGGAAGAGGAGAGGCAGCUCCAGCGACACUGGUGGCUCGUUUAUCUCCGGCUGGGAGAGAGCCGUGGGGAGACCAGGCCCCUGUACUGCAGAAUAAACCUGGUUGUUCCGAUGCUGCAAAACGUCUUUAAUCAUGGUGACACAAGGCAAGAUUUCAGGCUGAGCAGAGUCCCUGGAGGUGCUGCCGGACACAUUUUACAUAAUUUUAUAUUUGUUCUCUGUAAAUAGUGAUUUCUACUGAUCUUUUGUAAAUAGUUGUACAUGUUAAGAAUGCCCACUUGUAAACUUGUAAAUAGUUAGAAAUGUUCAGAUUGUAUCUUUGUAAAUACUUGGUUAUCAAAACAAAAAAAAUAAAUUGUGUUUUCACUGAAGAGUAGAUCAAAAGUUUACUCUAGUUGUAAAUAAGAAAUGGAACCGAUAAUGUAUAAUCCCUCCUGUCGCUGGCCCUGGCUGCCUCUCCUCAUCCUCCUCAUCCUCCUCCUCAUGCUGCUCACCCACUGCAGCGCCUGGCCCUGGUGUGUCCUCAGGGAUGGAGGCAACAGGACAGGAGGGGCAAUGGAAGGCCUCUGUCCUAAAACCUCAUCCAUGAGACAAACCAGGGCCAGGUGGCAGCAGUGGGCUUCCUGCUACCCCCUGCCCUGUCCCUGGAUCUUUGCAUUCCUAAGGCAGAGGAAAUCAGUCACAAAAGCAGCAAUUUUCUGCAAAGUAUUUAUUAAAAAAGUCUUGAAAAAGAAGUGCAUCAUGGACUCAAAAAGAGGUAUGUUUGAGGUGCUCUUUGGAAUGGGAUUCAUGUAGUGAUAAAGAAACGAAGAAAAAAACUCCAAGGCACUCUCCCAAAGCAGUUAAAUGCCUUUAUUCUUAAGCCAUGGUCAUAUAAACCUUAAAAACACAGUCCUUCAACACGUUUCGGCAUCAAGCCUUCAUCAGAAGGUUAAACAGAUUCAAGGAAUAAAGAAUAAG
Molecule: long non-coding RNA, 1883 nt
Organism: Epinephelus moara (kelp grouper)
Lineage: Eukaryota; Metazoa; Chordata; Actinopteri; Perciformes; Serranidae
Exons: 3
Source: RefSeq, a predicted model, not a curated record